RNAcentral lists this long non-coding RNA (225 nucleotides) under Gossypium barbadense (sea-island cotton). Its description in RNAcentral is "long non-coding RNA (GBAR_LNC014944)". The record is from RNAcentral. Lineage: Eukaryota; Viridiplantae; Streptophyta; Magnoliopsida; Malvales; Malvaceae.
GCCGAACCUUUGCAUGAUCACCAAUCACCUCCUCUUCAAAGUACUGCUCAAGCUUGGACCACCAUCCUUGAAAGUUCUCACCAUCAAAUGACGGGCAUUCCAUCCUAAAAGUGGAACGAUUAGCUUCCACCAUCACUCCACGUGAAGACAUGCUUGAAUGGCCUAGAUCUGCCAUCGGAGAUACUAUUAGGUGUUCUUAAGAUGGGAAACUAGGUGGUGACCCCA